UUUUAUGAGAGUUUGAUCCUGGCUCAGGACGAACGCUGGCGGCGUGCCUAAUACAUGCAAGUCGUACGCUUCUUUUUCCACCGGAGCUUGCUCCACCGGAAAAAGAAGAGUGGCGAACGGGUGAGUAACACGUGGGUAACCUGCCCAUCAGAAGGGGAUAACACUUGGAAACAGGUGCUAAUACCGUAUAACAAUC
Molecule: ribosomal RNA, 196 nt
Filed under: Enterococcus faecium
Lineage: Bacteria; Bacillati; Bacillota; Bacilli; Lactobacillales; Enterococcaceae
Description: partial 16S ribosomal RNA
Rfam family: Bacterial small subunit ribosomal RNA
Source: RNAcentral